AGUGAACGCUGGCGGUAGGCCUAACACAUGCAAGUCGAACGGCAGCACAGUAAGAGCUUGCUCUUACGGGUGGCGAGUGGCGGACGGGUGAGGAAUACAUCGGAAUCUACUUUUUCGUGGGGGAUAACGUAGGGAAACUUACGCUAAUACCUCAUACGACCUACGGGUGAAAGCAGGGGAUCUUCGGACCUUGCGCGAUUGAAUGAGCCGAUGUCGGAUUAGCUAGUUGGCGGGGUAAAGGCCCACCAAGGCGACGAUCCGUAGCUGGUCUGAGAGGAUGAUCAGCCACACGGGAACGGAGCCACGGUCCAGACUCCUACGGGAGGCAGCAGUGGGGAAUAUUGGACAAUGGGCGCAAGCCUGAUCCAGCCAUACCGCGUGGGUGAAGAAGGCCUUCGGGUUGUAAAGCCCUUUUGUUGGGAAAGAAAAGCAGCAGGUUAAUACCCCGCUGUUCUGACGGUACCCAAAGAAUAAGCACCGGCUAACUUCGUG
RNAcentral lists this ribosomal RNA (492 nucleotides) under uncultured bacterium. RNAcentral describes it as "partial 16S ribosomal RNA". It matches the Rfam family "Bacterial small subunit ribosomal RNA", at positions 29 to 507 of the family's 1533-position model. The record is from RNAcentral.